Molecule: non-coding RNA, 774 nt
Filed under: Limenitis populi (poplar admiral)
Lineage: Eukaryota; Metazoa; Arthropoda; Insecta; Lepidoptera; Nymphalidae
Source: RNAcentral
GAUAAAUUUUUUAUAUUUUUAAUAAUUUAUUAUAAAUUUAUUUUACAUGUAAAUUUUAGUAUGAAAUUUUAAUUAUUUUAAUAAUAAUUAAUUUAAUUAUACAGUAAUUAAAAUUAAAAAUUUAAGAAAUUAAGAUUUAGUAAUAUAUAAAUUAAUAACUAAUUUUGUGCCAGCAGUUGCGGUUAAACAAAAGUUAAAUUAAAUUAUUUCAGUAUAUAAUAAAUAAUAAAUAAUUAAAUUAAAUAUUAAAUUAUUAAGUGAAAUUUUAAUUUAAUUAAAAAUUAUAUUAAAAUUAUGAUUUAGUAAAUUUUAUUUUAAACUAGGAUUAGAUACCCUAUUAUUAAAAAUUUAAUUAAAAAUACUAAAAUAGUAAAUAAAAUAUUAUUGAAACUUAAAUAAUAUGGCGGUAUUUUAGUUCAUUUAGAGGAAUCUGUCUAAUAAUUGAUAAUCCACGAGUAAAUUUACUUAAUUUAUAAUUUUGUAUAUCAUUGUUAAAAAAAUAUUUUAAAAUAAAAAUAAUAUUUUAAAAUUUAAAAUAAAAUUUAAUUCAGAUCAAGAUGCAGAUUAUAAUUAAGUUUAAGAUGGAUUACAAUAAAUUUAUUUAAACGGAAAAAAUUUUGUAAUAUAUAAUUGAAGGUGGAUUUAAAUGUAAUUUUAAUUAAUUUAUUAAAAUGAUUAAAAAUUGAAAUAUGUACAUAUUGCCCGUCACUUUCAUUUAAAAAUUGAAAUAAGUCGUAACAAAGUAGAGGUACUGGAAAGUGUUUCUAGAAUGAA